UAAAAAUGUGAAAACAAACAAACAAACAGCUUUAUAAAUAUAGAUUAAGUGACUGUGACUUGGGCCAAACUCAUGUCAAACUAGGGCCAAGAAAAUGACCCCAGAGGGAAUUUCUUAUCUUGUAGUUCUUUUAGAGGAUCACAGGACCAUGUGCUUCAUCUGAUAUCUUGGUCUCUAGGAAACUGAGAACUUGAUUCCUAAGAUUAGAAGAGCAGAGAAGCAUCCAUGUUUAAUUCAGUAGGUCCCACCUCUACUUCCCAUUAUUGGAUAAGCUAAGCCGACACUUUGACGGCCCAUAGAGAUUGCACAUUUCUCCCUCGUUCUCCGCCAGAGAUGCAGUAGUAACAAUCAAUCAAUCAACAAACAUUACCCCAAGUUUGCACCUCCUUGCUCCUGUUAGAAGCACACCAAAAUUGAAGGGACAGUUUUCUGAGAGGAGAGCAAACCCUACGAGAGACAGAUAAAACCGGAGUCAUAAGUAACCCCUGCGUUCAAAUUUCUUUCU
This 505-nucleotide long non-coding RNA is filed under the name Phascolarctos cinereus (koala). RNAcentral's name for it is "lncRNA (ENSPCIG00000037395.1)". Lineage: Eukaryota; Metazoa; Chordata; Mammalia; Diprotodontia; Phascolarctidae. The record is from RNAcentral.